GGGGCUGGAGAGCGCCCAAGAUGGCGGCGGGGGGAGUGUGACACGCCCGCCUCAGCCUGGGGGCCGCGGGCUCUCACAGCCUUCCGCGCACCUGCCGCGGCCCUGCGGCUUCGUGCUCUUAGCCCCUUCCCUCCCUUCCCCCCGCCCUUCCGAUAGUAAUAUUAUCGCCUGUACUGCAAACCUACUGCUGUUGGGCAAAUAUGUUAUUACGGAGGUUUUCUUACCUUGUCGUUGCUUCGUACUUCUUAAUGGCAGCAAAAUGUUAAAAACGUGGUGUAACUUUUGGCGAAUAGCUGGAGGAAACGUGCUGUGAACCUGGAAGUUACUGGUCCGUUCCCUUCACCUGAGGAAAUUCAGGUGUUUUGUUUAUAGGGAAGUGAGGCAGACUGGAUAACAGAGCCUGUCCCACAGGCCUCAGCUUGGGCUGUUUGUUGGGUGCUUCCCUCUCGUCAGGAGCUGAGGUUCGGUGAUGCUGUUGAUACAAUGCACUAAAACAAGCCAGUACGCUGUAUGUUAAUGGAAGAGCUGUCAUUAAUUGUUGUUAGAUGUUUGUACUCUAUUUGGCUCUCGGGUUCAUGGCAAGAUGUGGCUGAUGCUAUAAUCCUCUGAGCAUCCUGAUGUGUACCUGAAUCCCACUGCAUGGAUGGCUUUGUUAGGAUAAAUCACAUGCUGUGGGCCACUUCAAAAGAUGAAAUAUUGCAGUGCAGCAACUUUAAAGACUUGGUAUUUUCAAGUUUAGUUAUGUAAUUAAUAAAUGGGAGGCCUUUGUAAAAGAGGAGGGAAUCAAGUUUGUGCAAUGUGUUUUACUAAUGUUGAUAGUUCAUCUCAUCUUUUUCAGAGAUGUUUCAUGUUGAACUUUUGUCACCUCUCUGUCAAGAAGAGUGCAUUUUAGUCAAGAAUACCAAGUAAAUCUAUCAAGGAAAAUGGGUUUUGCCCCUUCUCUAGUGACCAAGAUAAAUCAACUUCAUACCAGUACCUUAAUCUGAUUUUUAUUUUAAUUUGGACUAGAAUACCAGCUAUAAUUUAAUUUUGUAGCUAGCUUUUCUAUUCUAGAUUACUGAAAAAUGACAAGAAGCUUGGCAGGAGUAGAAAGACCCAAUUGCAACAGAUUGGAUCCUUUACUGUUAAUAGUUUGUUUUACACCAUGCUUUACUCCUUUGGGACAUUGGCAGCAGUUGGCAGACAUAAUACAGUUUGUGUGUAUGUAGGGUUUGAUAUUAGGGGUGUGGUAUUUUAAAAUGAAUGAAUAUGCUGAUUCUGGGAGUGAGUUGUUAGUUGGUGUAUAUUUAGGUGAGUCACACUGACAGGGCUUGACAAGGCUUCAUGAUUCAAUCUCCUUAGGAAAGUAGCAUAAUAGUUCUUUCAGGUACAUUGCACCCAGCUGGUACAGGGAGAAUUUCUGUUUGAAUCUUGCUUCUCAAGAAAUGUCAGAACUGCUUUAGGCACCUGUCUACAGCCAAAAUAUUUUUAGUGGAUAGUUUGUGCUUACUGUAGACAUUUGGCUUUUUUAACCAAAAUGUUAGUAGGACUUUAAAGGAAAAAAGUUAAUGCUUUUAAUGAAAGCAUUUGCAUGCAGUUACAUAAUUGAACUUAAACAUGCUCAAAUUUUUUCCUGCUUUUGACUACCAGCUGAAUUAUUUUACCAUCCUAAGGGAAGCCCAGCUAUCUUCUGCCGACAUUCUGGAAAACCUGUUACUAAGGGAACGUUUUAUUUUUUUAAACUUUCCUUAGGGAAAGCAGAAGCUUCUUCUGACUAAAAAGCUGGUGGAAAUGAGCCAAGACUUGGAAAUCAGCAGGUUUCUUGGGGGAGGUUAGGAUUUCUCCUGGAAAACAGACUGUACUGGUCUAUGCUAGCAUAAUUACUGUUUAAGAGUCUAAAAUACAAGAAUAUAACAGCAAAGUUAAGUUCAAGCAGUUUAAAAUACAGUGUUAAUGUGAACUGAGUUAUACAACUAGCACAAUUUUGCCUACAUAUGUUUCUAGGGCCAAAAAUAAUUAUCUGUGCUGAUUUCUUAGGUGUUCAUGAGUUGAAUGUUAAAUAAUUUUUAGAGUUUGUUUUUCUGCCUUCCUCUCCCUCAUCCCUGAAGUAGUUUUUUUUUUCAGAGGUGCACUGGACAGUCACAGCAUUACUCAGUGUUAAACUCAUACAUUUAUGCUACACGUCUGUUUGCUUGAUAGAGUCCUCACUUCUUUGCCACUCACGAAGCACCUCCAGCUCUAAGCCAGGAGGAAGAUCUGAACCUGUUAAGCAGCCCCUAAAGAAACCAAAGUUACCAGUAGGGCGGUUUGAUGAACCAGAAGAGUCCAGUAUGGAGAAGGAACCCCUGGAAAAAUUCCCUGAUGGAAUCAAUCCUACUACAAAAGAGAGGGGUGGACCCAGAGGCCCUGAACCUACACGUUUUGGAGACUGGGAAAGAAAAGGACGUUGUAUAGAUUUCUAAUAUUUAAAUAACUGUAUUGCUAAUAAAAUAUUUCUAGUUGCUGAAAAAUAUAAUGUACAGAAAAAAAUCUCACCUGGAGCUUAUUGUUUCUGUCAUGCCACAACAUUCUCUCAUGUGAUGAAUUUUCUUAAUAAGGCAAUGUAAUUAAACACAGUGCUUCAGCUCAGAUUAUGGAGCUGUUAGUGGCUCAAUGUCUGCCUGAUCUUUAAUACUAUUUACACUGUGCAAGUAUAAGUGCAAGUCUAGUGGUGUGAAAUUGGUAGUCAGGUGCUUAUUGAGAUGCAUAAGGGCUUGUAUUUGUUCAUGAAUGUAAAGAUUUAUGUGGUGUUGUAAAAGUGUUGAAAGAACUUUUCAUUUCAUGAACCUGGAGACCAUUCAUCAAAGGUAGAACCAACUCUGAGGAGAUCAGUAGGUCACUGAUUUCACACAGUGGUUCCAUGGUAAAAGCCCUUUUACUGAAGAACCCUCCAUCUGUCCCUAUUGCAGUGGGUUGGGUGUUUUUUCCUGGUUGUAGGGAAGGGAUAGUGUUUUCUCUGAGGACUGUAAGUACUACAAUGGAAAUGGAAACUUUAAUUUUGGAGAGGGUCAGCUCUUGAUUGCAAGUAGUUUAGAGGUGCUCUGUUUGCGAUUCUAGAACACUGUCCUUUAUCAUCUGUCUUCUUCAUGCUACUUGCAUUAUCUUUUCUUUUGUGGAGGUGCCCUUUUGCACAUGGGCUAAAUGCUGCUUGGGAAAAAUACAGCCUUACUAUCUGAAACCUUAUGGUCAAAGGGGACAAAUUCCGUUAGGUGAUUUAAUAUUGCAAGUGUUAAAACUAAGUUAUCUGGCAUCAAACUAAAUAUCAGUCAGACUGAGCUUGGUUCUUCAUUCAAGAAUUUGCCUAGUCAUACGUACUGUAGUAGAGUAGUAGUAUUGUGCAAAUCUAUCACUUGUGUGGGUACUUACUAAUGAGAGUAAGUUGUCAUUGAAAUGUGAACAUGUGCUCUAUUUCUGUGCAAAUUCUUUCUGAUAUCCUGAACAAAUGGAUCUUCUCUAGUCAUAGAAUCAGAGAAAGGUGUGGGCUUUGUCCAGCUUUUAGAGUGUGUUGGUAUUGUCACAAAUCUGAGCGGCAUCCCCUAAAUCACUUGACGGGCAGCCAGCGGGAGCUCCUUGUUGAAAUUUGAGGUUGUGUAUCCAGUGUGUAUGUUAGAGACACAGUCUUGCUGUAGUUGUGAGUUUGGAUGUUUGUCUCACUGUGAUGAUUCCCUACAAAAAUAUUGAACCUAUUCAGUUACAGGUUUAUCAACCAAAUACCUCACUGACAAGAAAAAUAAAAUUAACAAAAACCUGUUUCUCAUAAAAGGUGUUAAUUAGUGGUAAUUAGAUUUCAAACCUUUAAAUUCUGCAGCAUGGCUUGGAUAUUGGAAAAUUGGUUUGUAUUUAUAUCUGAUUCAUUGUAGUUUCCCUUCUGUAUAGUGACAGAUCUUUUCAAAAUAUAUUGACAUAUAUAGCUACCUAAAGCUAGGCUAGGUCAGCUGUCUUUAGUUUGUUAAUUAUUUCUAGUAAUGUUUGGCCUUUUCAGUUGCUGGUGUGUUGGAAAAUCCUUUCUUACACAAUACACCACCUUUUCAAAUAGGAAGUGGAAAUUUUAGUUGGAAGCUUCUGAUGCCUUUUCUGCAUCAUUAUUAAUAGGCUUAACAUCUUAGUUCACGAAGUAGCGGUAAAAUACUGCAAUUAUUUUAUUUUUAAAUUCUAAAUCUUCUCCAUGGAUUGUUGCAUUACUUCAUUAUCUUCUCAUACCAGGUUUUACCCUUCCCAGCACACACUUCAUGAAUGUUUACCUAGUUGCACUUCUUGGCAUUCCUGAUUUUCAAAUCUAAUUACUUUCCUCAGUGCCGACUGCAGGUACAUUCCUCCCUGGAUGCAGACUUACACUGUUUUGAUUUAGCAUAUGAAGAACUGGUCUCACUUUUCCAUCAUUUUCCUUACAUUUCAGUUGCUUAUCUUCAGUCUCCCUCAGCUUUGUGAUUAAGGGCUGACCCAAGUACUGUCCAGGCCCCUGCUUGUCUUCUUUGAUGCAGGUAAUGACUGCUGCUGUCAGAGGCACAGGCAGGCAGCCCUUCCUGUCAGAGCUCAGGCACGUCCUAGACACUCCAUGCCAGUAUCCAUGAAGUACCUGGAUUCUGAAGAUAAUUCUGAGAGUGCUAGCAUCUGUACCAAUAGGACAGUGUGUCUCAUAAAGGCAGGGAUUUUGCUUUCCUUCAAAAAACAGAAUCACAGAAUAAUUUUUAGAAAUUAUUUGAUUUAUAUAGAAUUAUUUCAUAGACCUGACCUAAGAUCAUCAAGUCCAACCACUGCCAAGUCUGCCACUAAAUCAUGUUCUUGAGUGCCACAUUUACACAUAUUUUAAAUACCUCCAGGGAUGGUGACUCAACCACUUCAUGAGCAGUCUGUUUUAAGCUUGACAGCCCUUUUGUUGAAUAUUUUUUUCCUAAAAUAAAAAGGCUGUUGUUAACCCAUGUUAUAAAUAGCUGAAAAGGAAUUAGUGCAUGGGGAAGAGAGAAUACCACUUCAGUCUUGAGCAACUUCCAGCCUUUUUUACCACCUCCCAGGCUGGUGCCAGUAACCAAGUAUUUGCUUAACUUGUUUCUGGAAUGUCAGUAAGACAUAGGAGACUGAACAUAUAAGUAAAAUAAUAUGUAAGAGUAAAAGAGUGAAUGCCAGGGGGCAUCUUUCUUACAUUGUCUGGCAAUCUGGCAUUUACCAAAAAGAGGAGCCCUAGGCUCCAGUAACAGUUAAGCACAAAAUCCUAUGGUGCUGCAAAAUCUUGUGGUACCUGUCAAAAGUGAUCAGGGAUUGAAUGUAACAGAUGAUACAAUGGUAUUCUAGGAUAUAAAUUAUCAUUUCCCUUUGUUUUCUUGCAGUGCCAGCAGGUAGGAAAGCAGCACUUCAGCACUUUUUUGGAGCUGUCUUCCUGCUCUUCCCAGAUAAUUACUAUUAGCAAUUCAUUGGAAUUUAGCAUUAGGUAAGAAAAUGGCUUGGGGCAUUAGCUAUUAGAUCAGCCAUAGGUAUGCUUUUAUCAUAAAUACUGAUUGAUUUUUUUUUUUUUUAAGCUCUUCUUAAUAUAAAGAGUGAAGAGCAGCAGGGGCUAUAUCCUAACAUUUUCUGUUAACUUUCUGUGAGACAAAGGAAAAUUGCUCUGUGUGUGUAAGCAAAUUCUUGUAGUACUGCAGGAUGCUAGCUGCUCUGUUUCAUUUUCUUUAAUAAAAAUCUGUAUGCUGUAUUUCUGCAGUAGGUUUUCUCUUUUAAAUUUGUUUCUGCUACUUGACAUAGAUGCAUUUGGUACAUUAUUAAAAUUACAAAGUCUUUAUUAUUUUAAGGAAUUGCACUAUAAUUACUUUAUUUCAAAAUACAUGAACUUUCAAUUUACAAUUAAAGAAAAUAUUGAAUAUUUGCUAUAUAUUGCCUUGUUAGAAAGCAUGUAUUUCACUGUUGAUUUUAUUAAAUUGAAACACAGGAUACAUACUAGAAUCAUAGUAAAGUUACCUGUGAUGGUAGCAUAUGUUUAUAAAGCACCAUAGAAUGUUGUUACAAAUCUUUACUACAUUUUCAGUUGACUGCAAUAAAUGAUGUCA
RNAcentral lists this long non-coding RNA (6053 nucleotides) under Taeniopygia guttata (zebra finch). RNAcentral describes it as "lncRNA (ENSTGUG00000029637.1)". The record is from RNAcentral. Lineage: Eukaryota; Metazoa; Chordata; Aves; Passeriformes; Estrildidae.